GUACUACUCCCUUCGUCCGGAAAUACUUGUCAUCAAAAUAAAUAAAAGGGGAUGUAUUUAGUUCUAAAUACAUUUCCUUUUAUUUAUUUUGAUGACAAAUAUUUUCGGACGGAGGGAGUACUAC
Molecule: non-coding RNA, 124 nt
Organism: Triticum aestivum (bread wheat)
Lineage: Eukaryota; Viridiplantae; Streptophyta; Magnoliopsida; Poales; Poaceae
Source: Rfam